UACGUAGGGUGCGAGCGUUGUCCGGAAUCAUUGGGCGUAAAGAGCGCGUAGGCGGCCAGAUAAGUCCGGUGUGAAAGUCACAGGCUCAACCUGUGAAUGCCGCUGGAAACUGUCUGGCUAGAGUCCGGAAGGGGCGAGUGGAAUUCCUGGUGUAGCGGUGAAAUGCGCAGAUAUCAGGAGGAACACCAAUGGCGAAGGCAGCUCGCUGGAACGGUACUGACGCUGUGGCGCGAAAGCGUGGGGAGCAAACAGG
RNAcentral lists this ribosomal RNA (253 nucleotides) under uncultured bacterium. RNAcentral describes it as "partial 16S ribosomal RNA". It matches the Rfam family "Bacterial small subunit ribosomal RNA", at positions 524 to 776 of the family's 1533-position model. The record is from RNAcentral.